UGAAGUCGGAAUUGCUAGUAAUCGCGGAUCAGCAUGCCGCGGUGAAUACGUUCCCGGGCCUUGUACACACCGCCCGUCACACCAUGGGAGCCGGUAAUACCCGAAGUCAGUAGUCCAACCACGUGAGGACGCUGCCGAAGGUAGGAUUGGCGACUGGGGUGAAGUCGUAACAAGGUAAC
Molecule: ribosomal RNA, 179 nt
Filed under: uncultured bacterium
Lineage: Bacteria
Description: partial 16S ribosomal RNA
Rfam family: Bacterial small subunit ribosomal RNA
Source: RNAcentral